RNAcentral lists this ribosomal RNA (335 nucleotides) under uncultured Thiobacillus sp. RNAcentral describes it as "bacterial SSU rRNA". It matches the Rfam family "Bacterial small subunit ribosomal RNA", at positions 1041 to 1382 of the family's 1533-position model. The record is from RNAcentral. Lineage: Bacteria; Pseudomonadati; Pseudomonadota; Betaproteobacteria; Nitrosomonadales; Thiobacillaceae.
CUGCAUGGCUGUCGUCAGCUCGUGUCGUGAGAUGUUGGGUUAAGUCCCGCAACGAGCGCAACCCUUAUCAUUAGUUGCUACGCAAGGGCACUCUAAUGAGACUGCCGGUGACAAACCGGAGGAAGGUGGGGAUGACGUCAAGUCCUCAUGGCCCUUAUGGGUAGGGCUUCACACGUCAUACAAUGGUCGGUACAGAGGGUUGCCAAGCCGCGAGGCGGAGCCAAUCCCACAAAGCCGAUCGUAGUCCGGAUUGUUCUCUGCAACUCGAGAGCAUGAAGUCGGAAUCGCUAGUAAUCGCAGGUCAGCAUACUGCGGUGAAUACGUUCCCGGGUCUU